RNAcentral lists this ribosomal RNA (693 nucleotides) under Klebsiella pneumoniae. RNAcentral's name for it is "partial 23S ribosomal RNA". It matches the Rfam family "Bacterial large subunit ribosomal RNA", at positions 2238 to 2925 of the family's 2925-position model. RNAcentral also lists the same sequence under 5 other names. Lineage: Bacteria; Pseudomonadati; Pseudomonadota; Gammaproteobacteria; Enterobacterales; Enterobacteriaceae. The record is from RNAcentral.
AUCGGGGUUGCGGACAGUGUCUGGUGGGUAGUUUGACUGGGGCGGUCUCCUCCCAAAGCGUAACGGAGGAGCACGAAGGUUAGCUAAUCCUGGUCGGACAUCAGGAGGUUAGUGCAAUGGCAUAAGCUAGCUUGACUGCGAGCGUGACGGCGCGAGCAGGUGCGAAAGCAGGUCAUAGUGAUCCGGUGGUUCUGAAUGGAAGGGCCAUCGCUCAACGGAUAAAAGGUACUCCGGGGAUAACAGGCUGAUACCGCCCAAGAGUUCAUAUCGACGGCGGUGUUUGGCACCUCGAUGUCGGCUCAUCACAUCCUGGGGCUGAAGUAGGUCCCAAGGGUAUGGCUGUUCGCCAUUUAAAGUGGUACGCGAGCUGGGUUUAGAACGUCGUGAGACAGUUCGGUCCCUAUCUGCCGUGGGCGCUGGAGAAUUGAGGGGGGCUGCUCCUAGUACGAGAGGACCGGAGUGGACGCAUCACUGGUGUUCGGGUUGUCAUGCCAAUGGCACUGCCCGGUAGCUAAAUGCGGAAGAGAUAAGUGCUGAAAGCAUCUAAGCACGAAACUUGCCCCGAGAUGAGUUCUCCCUGAGACUUUAAGUCUCCUGAAGGAACGUUAAAGACGAUGACGUUGAUAGGCCGGGUGUGUAAGCGCAGCGAUGCGUUGAGCUAACCGGUACUAAUGAACCGUGAGGCUUAACCUU